AUAAUACCCGAUAGAUCUCGACUGCUGGAAUGCAUCGAGAUCGAAAGCUCCGGCGCCUAAGGAUGGGUCUGCGGCCUAUCAGGUAGUAGUGGGUGUAGCGUACCUACUAGCCUACGACGGGUACGGGUUGUGAGAGCAAGAGCCCGGAGAUGGAUUCUGAGACACGAAUCCAGGCCCUACGGGGUGCAGCAGGCGCGAAAACUUUACAAUGCUGGAAACAGCGAUAAGGGGACCUCGAGUGCCAGGUUACAAAUCUGGCUGUCGUGAUGCCUAAAAAGCAUUGCAUAGCAAGGGCCGGGCAAGACCGGUGCCAGCCGCCGCGGUAACACCGGCGGCUCGAGUGGUAACCGUUAUUAUUGGGUCUAAAGGGUCUGUAGCCGGCCGGAUAAGUCUCUUGGGAAAUCCAGCAGCUCUACUGUUGGGCUUUCAGGAGAUACUGUCUGGCUCGAGGCCGGGAGAGGUGAGAGGUACUUCAGGGGUAGGGGUGAAAUCUUGUAAUCCUUGAAGGACCACCAGUGGCGAAGGCGUCUCACCAGAACGGACCUGACGGCAAGGGACGAAAGCUAGGGGCACGUACCGGAUUAGAUACCCGGGUAGUCCUAGCCGUAAACGAUACUCGCUAGGUGUCGGCCACGGUGCGACCGUUGUCGGUGCCGUAGGGAAGCCGUGAAGCGAGCCACCUGGGAAGUACGGCCGCAAGGCUGAAACUUAAAGGAAUUGGCGGG
RNAcentral lists this ribosomal RNA (725 nucleotides) under uncultured archaeon. RNAcentral's name for it is "bacterial SSU rRNA". It matches the Rfam family "Archaeal small subunit ribosomal RNA", at positions 146 to 872 of the family's 1478-position model. The record is from RNAcentral.